RNAcentral lists this ribosomal RNA (259 nucleotides) under uncultured prokaryote. RNAcentral describes it as "partial 16S ribosomal RNA". It matches the Rfam family "Bacterial small subunit ribosomal RNA", at positions 524 to 782 of the family's 1533-position model. The record is from RNAcentral.
UACGGAGGAUGCAAGCGUUAUCCGGAUUUAUUGGGUUUAAAGGGUGCGUAGGCGGAAUAGUAAGUCAGUGGUGAAAGCCUGCGGCUUAACCGUAGAAUUGCCAUUGAUACUGUUAUUCUUGAGUGUAGUUGAGGUGGGCGGAAUGUGUAAUGUAGCGGUGAAAUGCUUAGAUAUUACACAGAACACCGAUUGCGAAGGCAGCUCACUAAGCUAUAACUGACGCUGAGGCGCGAAAGCGUGGGGAGCAAACAGGAUUAGA